GACGAACCGUACGAACGUUAUUCGGAAUUACUGGGCUUAAAGGGUGCGUAGGCGGCGCGGAAAGUAGGGUGUGAAAUCCCUCGGCUCAACCGAGGAACUGCGCUCUAAACUACCGUGCUCGAGGGAGGUAGAGGUGAGCGGAACUGAGGGUGGAGCGGUGAAAUGCGUUGAUAUCCUCAGGAACACCGGUGGCGAAAGCGGCUCACUGGACCUCUUCUGACGCUGAGGCACGAAAGCUAGGGGAGCAAACAGG
RNAcentral lists this ribosomal RNA (253 nucleotides) under uncultured bacterium. RNAcentral's name for it is "partial 16S ribosomal RNA". It matches the Rfam family "Bacterial small subunit ribosomal RNA", at positions 524 to 776 of the family's 1533-position model. The record is from RNAcentral.